RNAcentral lists this small nucleolar RNA (127 nucleotides) under Dasypus novemcinctus (nine-banded armadillo). RNAcentral describes it as "Small nucleolar RNA SNORA31 (ENSDNOG00000044826.1)". The record is from RNAcentral. Lineage: Eukaryota; Metazoa; Chordata; Mammalia; Cingulata; Dasypodidae.
AGGCAUCUCUUGCAAACCUGGAGAAGUUAAUAUCUGUUGCUAAGGUUUCCACUACAGAUGUAAGAAAUAGAAGAUCCUCACACUUUCUCUGGUUGCAGAAGUCAAGAUUGAAUUGGGGAAUACAGAA